AACGAACGCUGGCGGCAGGCCUAACACAUGCAAGUCGAGCGCGCCCUUCGGGGUGAGCGGCGGACGGGUGAGUAACGCGUGGGAACGUGCCCUUUUCUACGGAAUAGCCUCGGGAAACUGAGAGUAAUACCGUAUACGCCCUUUGGGGGAAAGAUUUAUCGGAAAAGGAUCGGCCCGCGUUGGAUUAGGUAGUUGGUGGGGUAAUGGCCUACCAAGCCGACGAUCCAUAGCUGGUUUGAGAGGAUGAUCAGCCACACUGGGACUGAGACACGGCCCAGACUCCGACGGGAGGCAGCAGUGGGGAAUCUUAGACAAUGGGGGCAACCCUGAUCUAGCCAUGCCGCGUGAGUGAUGAAGGCCUUAGGGUUGUAAAGCUCUUUCAGCUGGGAAGAUAAUGACGGUACCAGCAGAAGAAGCCCCGGCUAACUCCGUG
RNAcentral lists this ribosomal RNA (433 nucleotides) under uncultured bacterium. Its description in RNAcentral is "partial 16S ribosomal RNA". It matches the Rfam family "Bacterial small subunit ribosomal RNA", at positions 29 to 507 of the family's 1533-position model. The record is from RNAcentral.